AGACUAACCUGGCAGGGAGGUUCUAUGAUCAGGAGGUGUUUUCCCAGCAAGCAGCUUAUUCAUGUCACUUGGAUAUGUUGUCCCCUGAGAUUUCCCCAAACGUAGUAAACUCAACUGUAUAGUUUGUGAUAGUGGAGGGGACUGCAUUCCCAUUCUCUUCUG
This is a small nuclear RNA of Rattus norvegicus (Norway rat), 162 nucleotides long. Ensembl annotates it as RNA, U1 small nuclear 73. Its record names the gene Rnu1-73. The record is from Ensembl. Lineage: Eukaryota; Metazoa; Chordata; Mammalia; Rodentia; Muridae.